RNAcentral lists this ribosomal RNA (255 nucleotides) under uncultured bacterium. RNAcentral's name for it is "partial 16S ribosomal RNA". It matches the Rfam family "Bacterial small subunit ribosomal RNA", at positions 524 to 776 of the family's 1533-position model. The record is from RNAcentral.
UACGUAGGGGGGCAAGCGUUGUCCGGAUUUAUUGGGCGUAAAGAGCGUGUAGGCGGCCAGACAGGUCCGUUGUGAAAACUCGAGGCUCAACCUCGAGCUGUCGGUGGAAACUGUCUGGCUAGAGUCCGGAAGAGGAGAGUGGAAUUCCUGGUGUAGCGGUGAAAUGCGCAGAUAUCAGGAAGAACACCUAUGGCGAAGGCAGCGUCUCUGGGACGGUACUGACGCUGAGACGCGAAAGCGUGGGGAGCGAACAGG